GAGGGUAUAGCUCAGUGGUCGAGUGCAAGCUUAGCAUGCAUGCACAAGGUCCUGAGUUCAAUCCCCAGUACCUCCA
RNAcentral lists this transfer RNA (76 nucleotides) under Camelus bactrianus (Bactrian camel). It matches the Rfam family "tRNA". From Rfam's summary of the family: Transfer RNA (tRNA) molecules are approximately 80 nucleotides in length. Their secondary structure includes four short double-helical elements and three loops (D, anti-codon, and T loops). Further hydrogen bonds mediate the characteristic L-shaped molecular structure. tRNAs have two regions of fundamental functional importance: the anti-codon, which is responsible for specific mRNA codon recognition, and the 3' end, to which the tRNAs corresponding amino acid is attached (by aminoacyl-tRNA synthetases). tRNAs cope with the degeneracy of the genetic code in two manners: having more than one tRNA (with a specific anti-codon) for a particular amino acid; and 'wobble' base-pairing, i.e. permitting non-standard base-pairing at the 3rd anti-codon position. Lineage: Eukaryota; Metazoa; Chordata; Mammalia; Artiodactyla; Camelidae. The record is from Rfam by way of RNAcentral. RNAcentral also lists the same sequence under 2 other names.